CACACCGCCCGUCACACACGAGAGUUUGUAACACCCGAAGUCGGUAGGGUAACGCUUACGCGAGCCAGCCGCCGAAGGUGGGACAGAUAAUUGGGGUGAAGUCGUAACAAGGUAGCCGUAUCGGAAGGUGCGGCUGGAUCACCUCCUUUCUAAGGA
Molecule: ribosomal RNA, 156 nt
Filed under: Listeria fleischmannii FSL S10-1203
Lineage: Bacteria; Bacillati; Bacillota; Bacilli; Caryophanales; Listeriaceae
Description: partial 16S ribosomal RNA
Rfam family: Bacterial small subunit ribosomal RNA
Source: RNAcentral